GGCAAUAGAAGGUGCUGCAUUCUGGCGA
This 28-nucleotide small RNA is filed under the name Bombyx mori (domestic silkworm). RNAcentral describes it as "ovarian small RNA-17365". The record is from RNAcentral. Lineage: Eukaryota; Metazoa; Arthropoda; Insecta; Lepidoptera; Bombycidae.